GAGGAAUAUUGGUCAAUGGGCGAGAGCCUGAACCAGCCAAGUAGCGUGCAGGACGACGGCCCUAUGGGUUGUAAACUGCUUUUGUAUGGGGAUAAAGUCAAUCACAUGUGAUUGUUUGCAGGUACCAUACGAAUAAGGACCGGCUAAUUCCGUGCCAGCAGCCGCGGUAAUACGGAAGGUCCGGGCGUUAUCCGGAUUUAUUGGGUUUAAAGGGAGCGUAGGCUGGAGAUUAAGUGUGUUGUGAAAUGUAGACGCUCAACGUCUGACUUGCAGCGCAUACUGGUUUCCUUGAGUACGCACAACGUUGGCGGAAUUCGUCGUGUAGCGGUGAAAUGCUUAGAUAUGACGAAGAACUCCGAUUGCGAAGGCAGCUGACGGGAGCGCAACUGACGCUGAAGCUCGAAGGUGCGGGUAUCGAACAGGAUUAGAUACCCUGGUAGUCCGCACAGUAAACGAUGGAUGCCCGCUGUUGGUACCUGGUAUCAGCGGCUAAGCGAAAGCAUUAAGCAUCCCACCUGGGGAGUACGCCGGCAACGGUG
RNAcentral lists this ribosomal RNA (539 nucleotides) under uncultured bacterium. Its description in RNAcentral is "bacterial SSU rRNA". It matches the Rfam family "Bacterial small subunit ribosomal RNA", at positions 356 to 896 of the family's 1533-position model. The record is from RNAcentral.